ACAUCCAGAGAAUUUAGCAGAGAUGCUUUAGUGCCUUCGGGAACUCUGAGACAGGUGCUGCAUGGCUGUCGUCAGCUCGUGUUGUGAAAUGUUGGGUUAAGUCCCGNAACGAGCGCAACCCUUAUCCUUUGUUGCCAGCACGUAAUGGUGGGAACUCAAAGGAGACUGCCGGUGAUAAACCGGAGGAAGGUGGGGAUGACGUCAAGUCAUCAUGGCCCUUACGAGUAGGGCUACACACGUGCUACAAUGGCGCAUACAAAGAGAAGCGACCUCGCGAGAGCAAGCGGACCUCAUAAAGUGCGUCGUAGUCCGGAUUGGAGUCUGCAACUCGACUCCAUGAAGUCGGAAUCGCUAGUAAUCGUAAAUCAGAAUGUUACGGUGAAUACGUUCCCGGGCCUUGUAUACACCGCCCGUCACACCAUGGGAGUGGGUUGCAAAAGAAGUAGAUAGCUUAACCUUCGGGAGGGCGUUUACCACUUUGUGAUUCAUGACUGGGGUGAAGUCGUAACAAGGUAGGCGUAGUGCU
RNAcentral lists this ribosomal RNA (526 nucleotides) under uncultured bacterium. RNAcentral's name for it is "bacterial SSU rRNA". It matches the Rfam family "Bacterial small subunit ribosomal RNA", at positions 984 to 1509 of the family's 1533-position model. The record is from RNAcentral.